This is a long non-coding RNA of Corythoichthys intestinalis (scribbled pipefish), 564 nucleotides long. RefSeq lists it as uncharacterized. NCBI's taxonomy places the organism in Eukaryota, Metazoa, Chordata, Actinopteri, Syngnathiformes, Syngnathidae. The record is from RefSeq and is a predicted model, not a curated record. The transcript is spliced from 3 exons.
GUCACAAGCAGUUGCUCUGUCGUGCAUUAUAAUACAAACGCGUUUAACUUGCAUUUGAUUUGCGGUCUUUUUUCCGUCAGAAUGACUAAAAGUUGCUGUGUUGCGGGUUGUCACACAAGAAGGAGUUCAGAGCCGCAUUUGAAGUUCUUCGUUCUUCCACGUGAGAAGAAAAGGAGAAACAAAUGGCUGAAAGCAAUUAAUCGAGGAACAGUAAAAGAAGACGGUUCCGUGGACUAUUUUCGCCUGUGGGAACCUAAAUCCAAGCACAGUUACAUUUGCAGCCGACAUUUUAUUACUGGGAUUUCCUCAACAAACUAGUAGAAAAAGUUGUGUGAUCUUCAUAUUGAUGGGGCGAAGAAGGAAGCAGAUGAAUCAUCAUAACGGAGUACCUGGCCAAUCAGAGGAAAGUUUGCAUUUAAGAAAGGCAAAUUUACUGUCUAGAUACUGCGUUUUGAUACUAUAUGUGGGUUCAGGGACUAGUAGGUGAGAGUUCUGACUAGUUCAACUCUCCUAUGCAUGUCUGUUUGGUAUGGUAAGUUAAUCAGAACCCAUCGAUGCUGUUGU